CCUACGGGAGGCAGCAGUGGGGAAUAUUGCACAAUGGGGGAAACCCUGAUGCAGCGACGCCGCGUGAGUGAAGAAGUAUUUCGGUAUGUAAAGCUCUAUCAGCAGGGAAGAAAAUGACGGUACCUGACUAAGAAGCCCCGGCUAACUACGUGCCAGCAGCCGCGGUAAUACGUAGGGGGCAAGCGUUAUCCGGAUUUACUGGGUGUAAAGGGAGCGUAGACGGCGGAACAAGUCAGAAGUGAAAACCCGGGGCUCAACCCUGGGAGUGCUUUUGAAACUGUUUGGCUGGAGUGCAGGAGAGGUAAGCGGAAUUCCUAGUGUAGCGGUGAAAUGCGUAGAUAUUAGGAGGAACACCAGUGGCGAAGGCGGCUUACUGGACUGUAACUGACGUUGAGGCUCGAAAGCGUGGGGAGCGAAAGGGAUUAGAUACCCUUGUAGUC
This 440-nucleotide ribosomal RNA is filed under the name uncultured bacterium. RNAcentral describes it as "partial 16S ribosomal RNA". It matches the Rfam family "Bacterial small subunit ribosomal RNA", at positions 338 to 795 of the family's 1533-position model. The record is from RNAcentral.